Nicotiana tabacum (common tobacco) is the source of this 1139-nucleotide long non-coding RNA. RefSeq lists it as uncharacterized. NCBI's taxonomy places the organism in Eukaryota, Viridiplantae, Streptophyta, Magnoliopsida, Solanales, Solanaceae. The record is from RefSeq and is a predicted model, not a curated record.
UUCUCAUAUAUCCAAGUUUCCAUCACUAGAUUAGGGAAUACUGGAUUCUGUUCAAAGUUUAUUCAAUUUGUAGAUUAAGAUUUUGUUUAUUUCGUCUAAUUUGUCUCAAAUUUAGCUCUCUGUUGUGGUGAUACUUCAAGCCUCGGUUUUUCCCUACAAGGAUGAAAAGUUUUUGCUUGAGGUAAUGUUGUUCUUUCUUUGGAAAUGCACCUUACUAGCUCUAAGCGAGAGCUGUUUAUUCCCCCUUCAUUUUCUUCCUUUACCGUUUAGUUUCAUUAAAUAUGGAUUUUGGGUUAUUGAUUUUCUUCUCUGAGCUCAGUUCUUAUAAGUUUUGUUUAAAUGAUUUGGAGUCCAAUUUCGCUACUGGCGUAACUCUUGAACUGAAGAAAGAUUGGUGACCACGACGACUGAUUCAACCCCUGCUUCGUGUGAAAAAAGAAGAAGACGAAAAUUGAUGUGCAACAAUUAAAGUUUUUUAAGGCAUUGCAAAGUGGAAUUACUAUUAGGGAACAAUUAAACUAUCCAACAGUAAGUGGACCUACAUCAAAUUCUGAAUCAAACUGUAGUUACUUCAAGUGGGCUACUGCUUCAACAUUUAAGGAAAAAGGAAAGUGAAGUCUCCACUGCAUAUAUUCGACUAAAUGAUAAACGAUUAAAACUUUGCCAUAAUGAGAGCUCAGGUUAGUUAAAAGUUCGAAACUUUCUCACUCGGAGUACAUGUUAUCUCCACAUUUUUUGUAUUUUUUCUCAGCAGGUAACCUUCUAUUUCAACUUUGACGUGAAAAGUUGUAGCAUCUUUUUACUUGAUAAAUUGCAGAAUCAGACCACAAGUAACUUCGGAUUGAGGUGAAUUUAGAAGCUGGUUUUUAGCUAGAAGGAUGGUGAUUAGUUAUACGAAGAUUCUGUUUCUUUCCAAGCUCUUUGUUUGCAUGGAGAAAUGAUAUCUUUGCUUUGAUCUGUUUGAAUCUUUGUCCAUACUUGUGGACGCACUGCUCAAAUUUUGUGGAGAGAUGGCGGCGGAAAAAUUUAUAAUAAAUUGUAUCAGUGUGCAUUCAAAAUUUGGACCUGAAAAUAUUUUGGCGCUGGAAUUUUCAUUGAUUACUCUUUUGUUGCAUAACAAUAUACUGCUAUUAUACUUA